UGAGUGUAGCGAGUGUGGGAAGACUUUUAGUCAGAGCACUCACCUUGUUCAGCACCAGAGAAUUCACACUGGGGAGAAGCCCUACGAGUGCCACGAAUGUGGGAAAACAUUCAGCCGGAGCUCAAAUUUUGCGAAGCAUCAAAGAAUUCACGUUGGAAAGAAACCCUAUAAGUGUGGAGAAUGCGGGAAAGCCUUCAUUCAUUCAUCAGCUCUUAUUCAACACCAGAGAACUCACACUGGAGAGAAGCCUUUUAGGUGUAAUGAGUGUGGGAAAAGCUUCAAGUGCAGCUCAUCCCUCAUCCGACAUCAAAGAACCCACACUGAAGAGCAGUCCUGAAGAGGUGCCGAGUGUUACGGGAAAGUUGGCUACGUCGCUGGGUUUAAUAUUUGAAUGUUGAAAUAGAAGGACCACAAUGUGACCCUGGGGAGUGUCUGUGUGUAUGAUUUCCCUUGUCCGGUAUAUAACUUUAGAACAGCAGAUGAAGAAUCCCUUAUACUCAUUGGCUUGAUAAUAGUGAAAAGCCCUGGCUAUAAUUCUCAAAAUGUUUCUUCUCGGUUUUCCAAAUGCCCAAUUUUAAAUUCAAGAAAUGCUUGGGAGACGGUAAUACUGUGAACAUCACGAAAUCUAGUUUCCCUGUGCUUAGUCACAGCAGGGUAUGCUGAAGCCUUCCCUUUAGUAAGGAAAUCUUUUCUUUUGUAGAUUAGGCUUGAGACACACAUUCUUAUCCUCAGGAAGAUACACAGUUGUUACUCUCAAUGCAAAGACAGACAAACCUACCACAUCAUUUCCUUCAAACUAAAUGAAGGUGGAGAGAUGAGAACAGCUUAGGAUUCCAUCCCCCACCAAGAGCGUCUAAUUUGAUGGAUAUAGAUUCUAGGUUGGGUGUACAUGAACUGUAUUGGUCACUGAUUCACAUAAAUGGCAUUGUUAUCCUUUUGUUUGGAAAAUUCUCCGGUUCCUUGGGAUCUACCCUACAGUACCUAGCAGAUCAGAGUCUCCCCUUUCCUUUUGUGUGCCAAAGUCCUCUUUUCUCAUCUUUGUCACUCAUGGAGCCCUUGGCUUUUGGUAAGCAGGUCAUCAAGGAGAGUUCCUUCUGAUACAUUAUUAAGCUUCUGGUGCACUAUCCUCUGUGACUUUUAGAAAGUCCUCUGGGUGUGUUGCAGUUUGACCAUGUGAAAAGUUGAUGGGGGUCAAUGUAUUAUUUGGUUUAGGGUCCCAGGCAAGAGAAUGCUGAGGUGACUGUGUGGUACCCCGGCUUCCUCUCCAGCAUAGAAAGAAGCUCUCAGGGCAGCCCUGACGUGACCUGCCCAAGGAUAAACAUCUUUUUCUCCGACCUAUCUGGCCUUCAUGCUUACAUUAUUUUAUUACUCUUAUCAUCCAUACAUUAGUUGGUCUUUACCCCUGGCCUCUUAAGUAAACAUGCCAUGAAAUCAUAAUGACCUAUUACUGUAAUUUACAUAUGUGACCAAAAGCCAUUGAGAAGAUGGGAAACACAAAAACAAAGUAACUAUGAGUAAAACAACACACAGUGCCAGGUUUUUAAUUAUUCUAUUCUGUAUUGUAGGUUAUAUAUAUAAGAAUAAAAUUAUAGGAAAAGU
RNAcentral lists this long non-coding RNA (1599 nucleotides) under Rattus norvegicus (Norway rat). RNAcentral's name for it is "long non-coding RNA NONRATT005528". The record is from RNAcentral. Lineage: Eukaryota; Metazoa; Chordata; Mammalia; Rodentia; Muridae.